GACGUAGGGCGCGAGCGUUGUCCGGAAUUAUUGGGCGUAAAGAGCUCGUAGGCGGCCUGUCGCGUCGACUGUGAAAAACCACGACUCAACCGUGGGACUGCAGUCGAUACGGGCAGGCUAGAGUUCGGUAGGGGAGACUGGAAUUCCUGGUGUAGCGGUGAAAUGCGCAGAUAUCAGGAGGAACACCGGUGGCGAAGGCGGGUCUCUGGGCCGAUACUGACGCUGAGGAGCGAAAGCGUGGGGAGCGAACAGG
Molecule: ribosomal RNA, 253 nt
Filed under: uncultured bacterium
Lineage: Bacteria
Description: partial 16S ribosomal RNA
Rfam family: Bacterial small subunit ribosomal RNA
Source: RNAcentral